AGCAGGGGGCUGGGCGUGCUGUCCAUCCCUCCUCCCAUCCCUCUGUCCGUCUGUCUCCCCGCGGGAGGUGAUCCAGCAGCAGAAGGAGGGCUGCCAUCCAUGGGUGGGGCACUCCCUGAAGCUAUCAGUUCCUCGAUAUUUGGCACAGCAGUGGUUAAAGGCUCAGCACUGGCAUUGGCAUCUCUCUUUUCUCCAAAUCUGGUCCCACCCUGUCUGUGUGCCAGUAAUCAACAGGGAACCCUGCAGCAGUGACACUGUGCCAGCCGAGGUGCCCGGAGCCCCAGGCAUGGCGG
This is a non-coding RNA of Zonotrichia albicollis (white-throated sparrow), 293 nucleotides long. NCBI's taxonomy places the organism in Eukaryota, Metazoa, Chordata, Aves, Passeriformes, Passerellidae. The record is from RefSeq and is a predicted model, not a curated record.